This 110-nucleotide small RNA is filed under the name Chelonoidis abingdonii (Abingdon island giant tortoise). RNAcentral describes it as "TUC338 (ENSCABG00000006442.1)". The record is from RNAcentral. Lineage: Eukaryota; Metazoa; Chordata; Testudines; Testudinidae.
UUUUUGUUCACAAAACAAGUACGGCAUAGGCAGCUGCAGUGCAGGCUUCCCCACAUUGCUUAUUAAUGGGCCUCCGCCCUGCCCUGGAGAAACCAUCACUGCGGAUGAGA